GAGGAACGUUCGAGUUUAGUAAGCUUCAACCCCAAGCUUAGCCCGUUUGCCGCCUACAGGAGCCGGUGUGCAAUCCUUUUUGGAGAAGGCGUCCACGCGGUACUGGGCGCGCUGGAUGAGGAAGACGUGCUGCAGGGCCCUGCCUCUGUACUGGUCCAGCCUGGGCCCCAGGUUCUACAGACUCCAGACUCCGCUUGCACCCGAGGACCCGGAAGGACAGUGUUCUCUUCCGUCGGAGAUGGCGUCCCAGUCACCCCUGCGGCACGCAGCCCCGCCCUCAGCACGCUUCUGCGCCUGCGCAGAGCUACCCAACGCCUCAGAGAAGAGCCCUAUGGCCGAAUCCCCAGGCAGCUGAGGAGGCUCAGGAAGCUCAAACAGAAUGUAUGCACAGGGAAAAAAUCUUCAAGCGGACUCCCCAGUGAGAGCAAAGCCCUUUGUGGGGCUUGAUCCAGUGACCCAUGAGAUCAUGACCUGAGCCGAAACUAAAAGUUGGGUACUCAGCCAACUGAGCCACCCAGGUUGGUCUUCAAGGAAUUCAGAAUAGCCAUAAUUGUGAUACAAUAAGAGAAGGCCUAGAAAAAAAUGCCUAUCUGAAUAGCCAUGAGCAUCACUAACAUCCAGAUUGUGACUUUGAAAUACUACUCGUUCAAAGCAGGGCUACUUGGAGGACCAACUGAGUUCUGAUCUAGAGAAAAUAAUGUUUAAGUCUUUCAAAAAGGAGCUGUCUUAGAAAGAAUCACUCCUAUUCAAAGAUGCACAGUUAUAAGAAGGUAAUCAGAAUAAGACCUAAGCAAAAAUAUCAUAACAAAAGAGGGAGCAAACAAUGAUUGUGAAAAAAGUCAAUUGAGGAACAUAAGACAAUCAAUAUUCAGCAAAACUGUCUUUCAAGAAGUAGAACAAGAUGAAAACAUGUUCUCACUAAAGAAAUGCAGGAAGAAGGAAGUGAAAGCAGUAACAACAACAACCCUUGAUCAAUUUGGAAGAAGGUCCAAUGGUGUCAGGAAAAUACCGAAAGUUGUAAAAAUAUAAGCAUUCUCUGAAAUGGUAGAAAUGAAAAAGUUUAUCAGAAGCACAUAAACUUAAAUGGUCUGAAUAUAUUAUGUAAAAUCUCUAGAUUGUGAUGUUGUGUUGAAAAGAAAAAAAGCCCAUCAGGUGUACUUGAGACGUACUAGAUAUGCAAGGAUAAAGAUUUGCUUAAAAUGAAAAGGACAGGAAAAGAUAUCCCAGGCAAACAGUAAUAACAACCAGAAAACUGGUGUCAUUAUGUUAAAAACAAACCAAACAAGCUACCUGCAAAAAACACGUCUGGAGAAAAAAAGGAGCACUUUAUAGAUCUAAAAGAUUAAAUUCACCUUGUAGGUAUCUGAGAUAUGUAUGUACUGAAAGUGAUUCCUUCAGAAUUCAUUCCGUUACACAUUAUAGUGCUACAAGAGAAACUGAAAAAAAUGUACCUUCAUAAUGAAAAGAUUGCAUAGAAAUUUCACAUGAUUUAUAGAUCAAUUAGAUAAAAUAUCAUUAGACAUAUAGAAGAUUUGAAAAAAUAACAAGCUUGAUGUAAUGGACAUAUGUAGAAUAUUGCAUUUAAUUAAUGGAAUUAUACAUUCUUUUCAAGGACAAGCAUUGCUUAUGGAAAUUGAUCAUAUAUUCUGUGACUUUUAACAUAAUUCAAAGUCAGUAUUUCACAGACUCUUCUUUCCGACCCCAGUAUUUAGUUAAAUAUCAAUAAAAAGAAGAUAAUUUACAAAAUAACUCAUCAAUUUUCAACUUCAAAGCAUUUCUAAAUGGAAAAUAUUUAGAAAUACAAAAUAAAGUCGAGAAAAGAAAUGUAUGUAUACGUUAGAAGUUCAAGGAUACACAUCACCCUUAUUCUUGUAGAGAAAAUAAUUUUGAAAAUAUUCCAUCUAACAGAGAAAUAACUAAUAAUUUUAAAAUGGAGCAAUUGUAUCAUUAAAAGACUAUUGGUAAGAGCUAAUAACAAUUAAAACAGAUUUACGCCUAAAUAAUUAUAAAGAUUCAUUUUUUGCAAUGAUUAUCUGUAUAUUAUUUUAUCAGAUCAUAAAUUUGGAAAAGAAAGUAAUAAUUUAGUUAGACAUCCAAUGCAAUUUAUUUCUAGAUAGGAAAUGACUAUUGUAUCAACUUUUCUGUCUAAGCUCCAAGAGAAUUAUAGUCUGCUGUUUGCUUACUUGAAGAGGGCUUCCUCGCGGCGAAAAUGAUCCCAGCUCAGAGAGAAAAAAAAAAAAAAGAAAAGAAAAAAAAAGUGAAAUCAUGGCCUGGAGGCUGACACUGGCAACAUAUGAGCUUGUUCAUUCAAUGAAUCAGUUAACUCAUCUGCUUAAUGUGAUUCUUUUACACAGAAGCUGAUGCAGCCAACUUGUUCGCCAGCUCAGUCCUGGUACUAUUUCCUUAUGCUCAAUUCACAGCCUUCCUUUCUCUGUGGCCCAGAUAGCAAGUAAACAUAUAUGGAAUACAAGUAGCAUGUCAUGGAAAGAGCCCUGAAGUUGGAAUAAGAAAACCUGGAUUCAAAUCUCAGCUCUUCAUGACAUUACUAAUGACCCAGGUGACGUUAUUCGUAACAGCAACACAGGUGUGAGAGAUUAAGACAAAGUGGAAGCUUCGCUUGGAAAUGGAAGUGAGAAGCAAGAGCACAGAUGUUGCAGGCUGGAAAACAAGUGAUCCCAAUGACACCAUGAUACAACAUUUGGUAAAACUGUCACUUGUCAUCCUUAAAAGAGGAUUUAAUUUAUUUAUUCAUGAGAUACACAGAGAGGCAGAGACAUAGACAGAGGGAGAAGCAAGCUUCCUGCAGCUUCCCAGGACCCCAGGAUCACAACCUGAGCCAAAGGCAGAUGCUCAACCGCUGAGCCACCCAGGCACCCCUCAGUUGUGCCCUUCAGAAAAGGAUUGUAUAUGCAUUCUCCUUUCUGUAAUCCCUCACCCUGCCUCUCUCUUUCUCCUCUCUCUCUCUCCCCCCCCUCUCUCUCUCUCCCCCCCCCCCUCUCCCUCUCUCUCUCACACACACACAUGCACAUACAUACCUGUGCCACUGGGAGAUGGUGAUGAGUACAGUAGCCACAUUGUUCUGAGUAUGGUAAAACUGAAUUGCUGGUUUUGUGUGUGUGUGUGUGUGUGUGUGUUUAAGAUUUUAUUUGUUUAGAGAGAGAAAGUGGGGGAAUGGCAGAGGAAGAGGGAGAGAGAAAGAGAAUCUCAAACAGAUGCCAUGCUGAGCAAGAAGCCCAACUCUGGGUUCUGUCAAACAACCCUGAGAUCAUGACCUGAGCCAAAACCAAGAGUCAAAACUGACUUUAACUGACUGAGCCAGCCAGGACCCCCUGAAUUGCUGGUUCUUAUUCUUACCUUAGUUAUAAAGAAGAGAGAGAAAGCAUGAAAGAGAAAAUUCUAUCCUGCCAAACACUGCUAUAUUUUGGAUAUCUUUGCUGCAGAGUUUAAAUUAAAACUACAUUAACUACUAUACAUUAAUUCAAAUGUAUAUUUUUCUUAAAAUUUUGCUGGCAUUACUCACAAAAAUUAAAUCAAAUAUUAAAACUGACUAUUCCAGGCUGGGUGCAUGUUUCAAGUAAGAAUAGUGCAAAAUAUUGAUAUUCCACAAAUUUAUAAUAAAAAUAUAAUUGUUCUCAAAUAAUUAUUUUCUAUAAAAAUUAAUUCAUUGAGUAAUGAUGCCAGUGAUCAUUAAAGUAAUUCUAAUUUCUAAUUAAUUCUAAUUUCCAUCCUGGAAAAAUAAAACAAAUUAAAGCAAUAACAAUUGAAAAACUCUUAGAUCGUUAGGUGUAUGUAAAAUUAAUGUUCAGAAUACAAAGUGCACAAAAAGAAACACAGGAUUGAUUUUAAAAUAGGAAUACAGACUUUUCUUCUCACUAUAAAACAUGAGUAAAUUCUUCCACAUUAUCAACAAAAUAAAAGCAAAACUAAAUGUGUAUUCCUCCUUUAUCCCAAAUUUGCUUAUUAAAGCAAAUUUCUUGUUUCUCAAAUCUAAGGACUAUAUGCAUCUUUUUUUCUCUUGCUCAUUUUUGUCUCUUUGGAGGAACCUGAGAAAAUCCUCACUGCCUUAUGACUAAUCGAGUGUCCAGGGUGAGAGCAAACUUGAAAUAUGAAGCCCAUGGAGUGGAGAUCAGAAGAAAAUAUUUGGCUGACUGUUCUCUUGAAAGUGAAAGGAAGUUAGUUGUAGUCACCAGAUUGGUUUUGGCUCAUGUUAUUUACUAAUGAUUAUAUUUUACCUUACCAUAGAUAGUUAGAAUUUGAACAUAAGGGAUAGUGAUAAUCAUACUGGAAUUGUAUUUUGGACAUUUGGGAAAUAUGUGAAUACUUUUAGGCCUUCAAGGAUAUCAUUGCACCAAAGCUGUGAGGUCCAGAGUCCCUGGCAACAGGUCCUUGGAGUCUGUUUUCACCUUUCUGGGUUUAAGUUACCCAGAUAAAACCAUUCUUAACAUCUUUUGUUCUUCUAAAAUUGCAUUGUUCUUUAUCUCAAUUUACUUUUGAGACAUUUAUUACUUUCUGCUUUGUAUUAUAAUGUGUGCAUGUGCAUUUUUACUAUCCUGUGUUUUAUUCGUAUUCUCUUGCUUUUUGAACAUAACAAGCACCAAUAUACUUAUUUUAAGAAUUUAUUGUCAAUAAAUCUUGAUCCUUAUUCUGCACCUUUUUGUAUUUCCACACCCUUAUUGUAUUAUUUCUACUAACCACAUACAUUUGUUUUAAAACGUUUGAAAAAUAUAAUUGACAUUUAUUCCUUUAUUCAUCUUGUUGUUCUUUAGAGCCAAAAUUAAUGCAGUAAGGAAGGAAAUUCCUCUUCCAUUCCAUAAAAAUUUUAGCACAACUUUUUAAACUAUAACCCCCUCUUUUUUUCUGUUAUCUUGUUUGAAUGUAAUCUUUCUUUUUUGAGACAUAAUUUACAUACAGCGAAAUGUAUAGAUCUUAAGUACACAGUUUGAUGUUUGGAAAAAAUCCAUGGGCCUGACUCAGAGCUCUGUCAAAGUAUGGGACAUUUCUACCAUCCCAGGGAAAGUUGCAUCAAACCCCUUCCAAAACAACCCCCUCUCUCAUCCCAGGAACAUUUACUGUCUUAAAUUCUAUCACCACUGAUUUCUCCCACCUUUAUAGGAUCCUCUGGAUUCAGAAGAUGGUGGAGGGUCUUUAAUUUUGCUCUGGCAGGCAAGUGACUUUACUGGUGUUUCAACCUUAUCAUUUUGAAUUCGAUUACAGAACAGGGAUAGUCCAGUGUUGCACUAAGCCCUGACAAUUCUGGAGUUUUGACUUAAUUGCUAGGGUGUUCAACACAGUCUCUUCCUUCUGGCUGGUGAGGUCUAUAACAUUUUUCUAGUACUGCCAUGCCCAGAUUCUCUUUUGGGUUUAUUGCUCUAGGGAACAGUGUGUCAUACCUGUGCAGAUUGUCUCUCUACGUGCCCAGCUUAGAAUUUGCACAAAGACUCAAGAUGAUUCUUCCCAAGAUUUGUAGAGUUCUCUGCCCCGCUGCCAUUUUCUGGUACUCUUCCCUGCAAAUAACAGGUGUACUUUGGUGGCGCAGAACUCCAAUCUUUGUUUCUUCUCCUCAGGGAUAUUGCUGUUCUGUGUUUAAGCUCUACUUCUUAAAUUGGAAAGUGAUCCCUAGCAGAAAGCCAGGAUGAAAAUAGAGCUCAUUUUCCGUAUUUGCUUUCUUUCAUUGAUCACAACCCUGAGUUCUCUGUUUUCCAAUUUUGUCCAGUUUUGUAGUUAUUUGCAGCAGAAUUAUAAAUCUGGUAAACAUUACUCAUUUCUGUCAGAACUGAAAGCCCCAUAAUCAGGUUAAUUUUUACUUACAUUUUUUUGGACAUCCUAUCUUGGUUAAUAUUUGCUUGAGAACUGGAAACAGUGAUUAAAUCCAAAUAUUUGGUCUACUUAAUUCUAAAUGUUAAUAUUUGAAAGAGUUGUUUGAUAGCUUUUUAACUGGGAACAACUCUAAACUCUAUUUUAACAAAAAUUUGAGGAAAAAUAAACUUAUUUUGCAUAUUUUAAAAUAAUUGAUGAGAGUUUAUUAUAUUCAGGGAUGGACUGUUAGUAGAAAUAUUAAAAUUGCCCAUGUCACAUGUAGUUUUGAUAUGCUCAUUCUUCUUCCCUUAAUGAUAAAUUACUGAUUUGAUUUGCAAUCAUCCCCCCAAAUCCCUAUAAGUGGAUAUGGUAUAUAUAUCUCUAUAAUGCAUUGUGAAUUGAGGCUGCAGAGAGGUUAUAAUUUAACCAAGGCCAAAGGACGAUUACUUUUGAAUAAUCCAUUCUGGGAUUAAAUUAAUUUUGGAGUAAAUGUUUUGGAUAAAACAUUUUUGCUGUAUUUUUCAAGAAAAACAGAUUUAAUAUAACUGCAUAAGUAUUCAAUAUGUAAAUUGGUUAUUAUUCUUCAC
This is a long non-coding RNA of Canis lupus familiaris (dog), 6383 nucleotides long. RefSeq lists it as uncharacterized. The transcript is spliced from 9 exons. The record is from RefSeq and is a predicted model, not a curated record. NCBI's taxonomy places the organism in Eukaryota, Metazoa, Chordata, Mammalia, Carnivora, Canidae.